ACGCUCGACACCUACGGGAGACAGCAGUCGGGAAUAUUGCGCAAUGGAGGAAACUCUGACGCAGUGACGCCGCGUAUGGGAAGAAGGUUUUCGGAUUGUAAACCAUUUUAGACAGGGAAGAAAAAAGACAGUACCUGUAGAAUAAGCUCCGGCUAACUACGUGCCUGCAGCCGCGGUAAUCUGAGCGGGCUGGCAAGGC
RNAcentral lists this ribosomal RNA (199 nucleotides) under uncultured bacterium. RNAcentral describes it as "partial 16S ribosomal RNA". It matches the Rfam family "Bacterial small subunit ribosomal RNA", at positions 328 to 539 of the family's 1533-position model. The record is from RNAcentral.